GGGCGUUUAGCUCAGUGGUAGAGCGCCCGCUUUGCAUUCCUUCUGUGUCUGCGGGAGGCCCAGGGUUCAAUCCCCUGAUCGUCCA
This 85-nucleotide transfer RNA is filed under the name Colletotrichum orchidophilum. It matches the Rfam family "tRNA". From Rfam's summary of the family: Transfer RNA (tRNA) molecules are approximately 80 nucleotides in length. Lineage: Eukaryota; Fungi; Ascomycota; Sordariomycetes; Glomerellales; Glomerellaceae. The record is from Rfam by way of RNAcentral.